UGCAUUGGCCGGGAAUCGAACCCGGGCCGCCGCGUGGCAGGCGAGCAUUCCACCACUUAAUUACCGAUGG
RNAcentral lists this transfer RNA (70 nucleotides) under Cordylochernes scorpioides. RNAcentral describes it as "tRNA-Gly". Lineage: Eukaryota; Metazoa; Arthropoda; Arachnida; Pseudoscorpiones; Chernetidae. The record is from RNAcentral.